Molecule: long non-coding RNA, 277 nt
Filed under: Lathyrus oleraceus (garden pea)
Lineage: Eukaryota; Viridiplantae; Streptophyta; Magnoliopsida; Fabales; Fabaceae
Description: Pisum sativum (pea) long non-coding RNA (PSAT_LNC039529)
Source: RNAcentral
ACACUCUAUUUUUCCCAAACAUCAUUUUAUACCAAAAACACAUACACACAUAAAAAAGGGCUCCCUAGGAGUACCUAGGACACUUUGGGUGCUAACACCUUCCCUCUGUGUAACCAACCCCCUUACCUGUAAUAUCUGGCAUAAUAAAAAAGGGCUCCCUAGGAGUACCUAGGACACUUUGGGUGCUAACACCUUCCCUCUGUGUAACCAACCCCCUUACCUGUAAUAUCUGGCAUUUUAUUAGUUUUGAUUUGAAAACUUCUUAUCUUUAGGUUUU